RNAcentral lists this transfer RNA (65 nucleotides) under Dipodomys ordii (Ord's kangaroo rat). It matches the Rfam family "tRNA". From Rfam's summary of the family: Transfer RNA (tRNA) molecules are approximately 80 nucleotides in length. Lineage: Eukaryota; Metazoa; Chordata; Mammalia; Rodentia; Heteromyidae. The record is from Rfam by way of RNAcentral.
GGUAGCUCAGUGGUAGGGCGCUUGCCUUGCAUCCAUGAGGCCCUGAGUUCGAUUCCUCAGUACCA